UGGCCAAAAUUUCUAAGUUAUAUAUGACAGUAUUUCCUUGGUUAGCCUACGUUACAAUUUGUCAUUUAUAUGGAAAAGAAGACAAAUAGCUUGUGUUCCAAGUUAAGUUUUUGAGUCAUGAUCACCAAUAAGAUGGUUGAGGCUAAGUUACGAGUCUGAUGUGUAGUUAAUCGAGAAAUAUGUUGAACUUUUAAUUCUUCAAUAUAAUCGAAAAACGAUAACAAACACGGAUAUAAAUUGAUAUAUGUUUCAAAACAAUUUUCAAAAAAGUCUAAAACGUCGACGCCCGUCUUCAUAAUAAGUCUAUUUAUGAUCGCUUUCACUUUGAAUUCCCUGAUGCAACCCUACUGCAUAUCAUAAUCAGGAAACCACAACUCAAACCCAGCCUAUGAAUGGUGUUAUGGCGCUAGAUAGCUAUCAAGAUUCUUUGCUUAAUUUUAGUCUUUUAGCGAGCUAGGGUUCAAUUUCCUGUCCAUCCUUCUUAAAAUACCGUCAUC
RNAcentral lists this long non-coding RNA (497 nucleotides) under Fragaria vesca (wild strawberry). RNAcentral describes it as "long non-coding RNA (FVES_LNC003216)". The record is from RNAcentral. Lineage: Eukaryota; Viridiplantae; Streptophyta; Magnoliopsida; Rosales; Rosaceae.